Molecule: long non-coding RNA, 3131 nt
Filed under: Hordeum vulgare
Lineage: Eukaryota; Viridiplantae; Streptophyta; Magnoliopsida; Poales; Poaceae
Description: long non-coding RNA (HVUL_LNC004504)
Source: RNAcentral
AGGUCUAAUGGAAGAAAUCAUACAAAUGAAAUAGCAAUAAUGUUAGGUAAGGUGUGGGGGAUGUCCAGCCUCCUUCUCUGUUCAAUUUAUACUCCUCCAGUGUCCUCACAUAAUAAAUCUAUUUAAAUGAAGUCAAUAUAUUACUAUAUCUUCUGGACCAAAUGGUGUCCAUGUUAUGAAUAUUGAUAUGCAAUAGCAUGUCCUUAAUCCCUAAUCAAAAUUCCAUGUAUAGUAUCUUCUAAAAAAUAAAAAUAGCAGAAUCUUUGUCGCAAUGUUUUGUAGUUUCAUUUAUCAGAGACAAUACUGCUUGAAAGUAUUCUAACUCCACUGAGGGUGAAUCUUAUAUCUUAUAUUUACUAAUUGGAUGCACCAUACGAGCUUCCAUAUUAAUUCACAUCAUUAAAGAUAUUUUAACAUUUGGAUCUAUAUAAUUGAGCUAUCUUAGCCCUAUGUUUAACGUUACUGUUGUAAGAAAUACAAAAGACCCAAACAGGCCCAAGUUACAUGUAAACCUGACCCUCAACCAGGUAUAUAUAUAUCUACAAAAUAAAAAACUAAGAUCCAAUCAUUUGCAAUAUAAAUAAAAAAACUGACCUAACUACGUUAGUCCCAUCUAAAUGACUUUCAAGAAGUUCAGGUCUGAUCUUUGAUGUGAUCAACAAAAAAAAGGUCUGAUCUUUGAUCAGACAAUUUUUUUUAUAAUCUAUGGAUUUUAGGAUCCCAGUUAAGUGUACAUCUCAAUCUAAAAUACUUGCCUUACUUCACCAAACUUCCACGUUCUAUAACCUAGCCGCCAACCUUUCUCUUCUAAUUCAUGGAGCUAAUCACGUCCUCUAACCUGGCCAGCAUCCAACUUCCUGAUCUUGGUGAAGGCCGGCCAUACUCAGGUACAUCUUCCAUCUGCUUUGCCAUGACACUUCAUGCCUCUUUUAGAAGAAAAAUAUUCUUCUGUCACUGCCUGCAGUGUCCGUUAGUGAUGAGGGUUCCAAUCCUGGCAUCUAUCCAAUCCUUUGCCUAGAUAGUUAAAGCAACGCACGAAUGCCACGCUGCCACCGUUGUCGAUGAGACAUGGUGUGUUUCAUCGAUCGUUCUGUGCAUCUGCUCAUCUGCAAAUUACAACGGUAAGAAUUCAACCUGAAAUCCUCUCAGCACAUGUCACUUUGACUUGCAGGCCUGCAGCAGCAACAGCGACCACAGCUGGCCUCCCGGAGUCGUCAAUGACUGCAACAUCGUCCACAUGCACGACCUUACCAUCAUUUUAUCCUCUAUUUAUGAGGAACCUAAUACGUUGAAUAUUUUCAGUGAGGUCUGCCGGCCGGUACUUUUCUCAGUGUAUCAAAUACCCGUACGUGGUGGAUUGAUACCGUAGAGAUGUUCAAGUACAUCAUAUUGCAUUCAAGGCUGCUGGAUGCAUGGAUCGAUUCUGAAAUAACAAAGGACGCACGUACGGUCCUAUUUUUUCUUGCACCCCCUCAGCUUUGUGUAGUUAAUGCCAAACGCACACUGUCACUGUUGUGUAUUCUUCUUGCUUUGCUGACUCUUUUCCGGUUGUAUUCACUGCAUGCACAUCACUACAUCAGCACAGUCAAUUUGCAAUCUUAUUGCAUGUGACGCAUGCACCAUGCAGCCUUAUAAGAUGGAUGGAGUCAUGGAAGAUUGCCUUAUUCACAUAAGAAGAAAGCCUAGAGCCAUCUAAAGUCACGAGAUUGGUAUAUUUCUUUUGGCUACUUCAUCUAUUCCUAAUGCUAUCUAGCAAGUUAAUUUUAGAGGAGCUUCAUUUGGACGCAUACAGUAAAAAUCUAAAUCAUAUAUUCCUAAUGCUAUCUAGCAAGUCAAUUUUAGAUUACUUAUGGACCCUAAACUGAAAGUGUAAUAUUAUUUGUGACAUCUUUUUAUGCCAAUAGUACUACUUAAUUUACCAAGUAUUCUUCAUUCUCCAAUAUUAUGAUACUUUGCUUAUUCUCCAAAUUAUGUAUGUACCAUGCUCAUGAGAUAUAAAUAUGUUUUACUAUUGUUUAAAGUUAAUCAACUAAUGAUGUUUUUAAUGAUAUCCAAUGAACGUUUACCCAUCAUAUAGUACAAUAGAAGACAAAUGAUAUGCUUACUUUCAGGUAUACAAAAUAUGUGGACUAAGUGUAAAUUGGAUUACCGCCUCAUGUUUCUAAAGUCUCUGUUUAGAGCUAUUUGAAAUAAACAAUUAACAUAUAUUUUUUGAGUCAUGUCCAUGGAAACCUAAUUAGUUGUCAUGUGUUUUUACAACAAUACAUAUCAUUUUCCGGUGUUACAAGUUACUUUCCUGACUUUUGUAGUAUGUUUCGAUAUAUUUCUAGAUGUUUUAAUUGUUAUGUGCAAAUAAUCUUAUAAAAUAUUAAUCUAUGGGUUACAUUAUAUAUAAUUUGUUUAUGUUACAUACAUGUAACAUGUGAAGUGAAAUAUAAAAAUAUUAGAAUAUAAUAUGUCAUCUAACUAGCCCGUGCGGAUGCAUGGGUUGACGAUUUUAACCAGAAGUCUUGCGCUGCAGGAUUCCUAGCCCACCACAGCGUCUCUUCAACCCUGAACCAGUUUAUGCUGCGCCUCUGCAACCUUAUUGGUCACCGUAGUCCAUGCAACAGCUAUCAUGAGGGCCUAUUGUCGUUACCGCGCAGCCCACGUUUAUCUGCUUGCUGCUAUUUCUGCUAUCGCUGAAACCAACCAGGAGUUACUGGCCUUAAGGCACCAAGGUAAAUUCUUAAUGUUCUUCUAUUUUUGUUUAUUCACAUAACAUAGUUAGAUUCUUUUAUUGUGCCUUGCUAAAAUCCACUUGAGCCAGUAAACCUUUUAAACUUGUUGCUCCUAAUUAAUUACUUUUAAAUAUGCAUGUGUGAUCUCUUAAANUAUGAUAUUGUAUUAUUAUAAUUGAGACUUGUUUAACUUUUGUAGGAAGCAAAGAAAAGGACAACACUCAAACAAAAGGAGAACACUCACAAGGAACCAUGAAGCCAGCGAUCCGUGUCACCUGGAUAUUUAGCCUUUAUUUUUUACAACACAUGUCUCAUACUAGCAUCUUUUAGCUGUCAUUUUUGUGAACCUGAUGUAUGGUGUCCUGGUGGUUAUGCUUGGAACAGAGUGUAUGUGAAAUUAAUUAAUGGNNN